AGAUUGAACGCUGGCGGCAUGCCUUACACAUGCAAGUCGAACGGCAGCACGGGAGCAAUCCUGGUGGCGAGUGGCGAACGGGUGAGUAAUACAUCGGAACGUGCCCAGUAGUGGGGGAUAACCCGGCGAAAGCCGGACUAAUACCGCGUACGACCUACGGGUGAAAGCAGGGGAUCGCAAGACCUUGCGCUAUUGGAGCGGCCGAUGUCAGAUUAGCUAGUUGGUGGGGUAAAAGCCCACCAAGGCGACGAUCUGUGGCUGGUCUGAGAGGACGACCAGCCACACUGGGACUGAGACACGGCCCAGACUCCUACGGGAGGCAGCAGUGGGGAAUUUUGGACAAUGGGCGCAAGCCUGAUCCAGCCAUGCCGCGUGCGGGAAGAAGGCCUUCGGUUGUAAAGCUCUUUCAGUGGGAAGAUAAGUGACGGUACCCACAGAAGAAGCCCCGGCUAACUUCGUGCCAGCAGCCGC
This 471-nucleotide ribosomal RNA is filed under the name uncultured soil bacterium. Its description in RNAcentral is "bacterial SSU rRNA". It matches the Rfam family "Bacterial small subunit ribosomal RNA", at positions 26 to 518 of the family's 1533-position model. The record is from RNAcentral.